CACAAUUUAUUUUAUAAAUAUUGAAUACAUCUAUUCCAUCCACACAUCAACCAUAAACACGUGCACUAGGGGAAUCGGGGUUAUGAAUGGGAUCUGGACCUGAUGGGAUUUCUGAUAAAAUACGACCAACAUUACCAGGUUGCAAUGAAUGAUGGUGGCUUCGACCAUGACCUCCUAUGAUUUCUUUUGUGUUGUAAUAAAUAUUAUCAGCCAAGACUCUCGAGCCUUGUCUUCCAAAUUUAUCAACUUUUUCAGGUAGCACGAAAUCACCAUUUGCUCUUAGUGUUACUGAGGGAAAGCCAGUUGCACUUGAUUUCCCAUCAUUAAUUAACAAUACCAAUGAGCAACAUUGAUCAAGAGAAGGUAGGAAAGAAUUUUUUGCACCAUUAUCAUUUGUAGCAUGUUAUUCGAAUAUGGUGCUAACUUUGAAAUAUAAUUUAAGUUAGACAUACAGUGGAUGUAUAUAUACAUAUACUAGUAACUAGUAGAAUAUUGUUUCACCUAACACAACCUUUUAAAAAGUUGUCUCCAUAUGAACAUUUAUUCAUUUUAGUCAAAAAAAAUGAAUUUUAUAAAAAUAAAGAUAGAAAAUAAACAUAUAUUUCAUAUUUUUUGUUUUAAUAAAAUCAUUAAAUAAUUAUUGUUUCUUGACAAUAAUUAUACCAUCCAAAAUGAUAAAUUUUAUGAAAAUUAGUAAGGUAUACUAUUGAACCGAAUUUCUAUUAGACCUCCGUGUAAAAUGUGUUGGAAUAUACUAUAUUUAAAUAUUAUUUAAUUCUUUCAUUCUACUAAUUAUUAUGUGGUCAUACUUUUAAAUUAAUUAUUAUGAUUAAGUGAUCAAAUAAAGACAAAAAAAUAAUUAAGAUUAUAUUUUGAAAAUUAAUUAAUUAAUUAUUUAGUUUGAUAUGGAGUCAAAUAUGAGUAUAUCAAUAUUGUCCAUUUUUGAAUAACGUGAAUCCUAACUGAUCAUCACUAUAUAUGUAAGUUAUGGUCCCUAGUAUAUAGUGCUACAAGCGUAUUAUCUUAUUCUCUCUAUCUAAAGAGUGUUGAAGACAUUAUAAGUACCCGUUGAGGGAGAUUCCACCAAAUACUACAAAAUGUAGAUUUCAUAUUUAUCUUAUAAGUAUGUGGAAGCAAUACUUGAAUUUCUUGAAUUCACGGAAAAAAACACUUCCAACAACAAUGGAAUCUUUUAUGGUCCUUAUGUUAUAUGUUGGAAUGUAUUCUUUUUAAAAGAAAGUAAUUUUCAAUCACCUAGGUUGUGAAAAAUUUAUUCUAAAUUAUACAACAUGGAUGUGACAGGCUGAAGUAGAUGAAUUCCAAACUAUGAAGUCACAUAGAUACAAAGUUAAUGUAGAUAUGGAUGAUAGACUAUAAGAUAUGACCAGUGAAAUUGGAGAAUCUUCUUUUCGGAAAGCCCAUAUGUGUGAUACUUUAUUUAGUGAGAAGGAUUAGUUUUUAUUUAAGAGGUUCACAAAUUUUACAUGUAUAUCGACUAUUUUUUAAUAUUUUUGAUUUGAAGGAAAAAAAGAUGAUGGACAGAUAAAAAUUUAAAAUAUAAUUUCUUGAAUUGCUGAAAGAGAUGCUUCUAGAAGGUAGAAAUUUGUCCAAACCACAGUUUUGAAGCCAAGAAUCUAUUGUGUCCAAUUGUUUGGAUUAUGUCAAAAAAUAUGCAUGUUGUAAUUAUUGCAAUUAGAGAGGAAAUAUUAUCAAAAAUUUAACCAAUGCCCAAAAUAAGGGGAGUCGUGCUACAAGUAUAAUGACAACAGUGGUGAUGAAGAUGACGAUGUAAGCAAGAAGCACCCUUUAGCCAAAGUGUCAUGUUCUUGUCAAUAUUAAUUCCAAGGCCCUAGAGAAUGUUUUGUGAUAUUAAGAAAGUGUGAUAGAAAACAUCGCCAGGUUGGAUAUUCUUUAAGGUGGAAGAAAAUUCAAUAAUUGUAUUUAUAUUUUUUCCAUGCUCCAAUUUACAUAAUGGUUGGAUUUGGAAUUGAUUGAAUGAACCCCUUGAUAAUCUAUGCACUUAUCAAUACAUUUUUGAAAAAGAACUAUAACUUUGUAAGGUAUUUUUGUACUUGCAAAAUAUAGAUAUUAUUAUAGAUAUUCCAAACCGAUGCAACGAGAAAUAAAAAGGCUAAUAGUUGAGAAAUAUAAAUACAGAUAACUCAUGAACUCUAUAACUUGAGUUUAUAACAUUUAAUUAUUAACAUUGAACUAGUACAUCAAGUGUAUACAGAAUCUCACAAUUUAUUUUAUAAAUAUUGAAUACAUCUAUUCCAUCCACACAUCAACCAUAAACACGUGCACUAGGGGAAUCGGGGUUAUGAAUGGGAUCUGGACCUGAUGGGAUUUCUGAUAAAAUACAACCAACAUUACCAGGUUGCAAUGAAUGAUGGUGGCUUCGACCAUGACCUCCUAUGAUUUCUUUGGUGUUGUAAUAAAUAUUAUCAGCCAAGACUCUCGAGCCUUGUCUUCCAAAUUUAUCAACUUUUUCAGGUAGCACGAAAUCACCAUUUGCUCUUAGUGUUACUGAGGGAAAGCCAGUUGCACUUGAUUUCCCAUCAUUAA
Molecule: long non-coding RNA, 2565 nt
Filed under: Lathyrus oleraceus (garden pea)
Lineage: Eukaryota; Viridiplantae; Streptophyta; Magnoliopsida; Fabales; Fabaceae
Description: Pisum sativum (pea) long non-coding RNA (PSAT_LNC041482)
Source: RNAcentral